Molecule: ribosomal RNA, 641 nt
Filed under: Escherichia coli
Lineage: Bacteria; Pseudomonadati; Pseudomonadota; Gammaproteobacteria; Enterobacterales; Enterobacteriaceae
Description: bacterial SSU rRNA
Rfam family: Bacterial small subunit ribosomal RNA
Source: RNAcentral
AGGUUAAAACUCAAAUGAAUUGACGGGGGCCCGCACAAGCGGUGGAGCAUGUGGUUUAAUUCGAUGCAACGCGAAGAACCUUACCUGGUCUUGACAUCCACGGAAGUUUUCAGAGAUGAGAAUGUGCCUUCGGGAACCGUGAGACAGGUGCUGCAUGGCUGUCGUCAGCUCGUGUUGUGAAAUGUUGGGUUAAGUCCCGCAACGAGCGCAACCCUUAUCCUUUGUUGCCAGCGGUCCGGCCGGGAACUCAAAGGAGACUGCCAGUGAUAAACUGGAGGAAGGUGGGGAUGACGUCAAGUCAUCAUGGCCCUUACGACCAGGGCUACACACGUGCUACAAUGGCGCAUACAAAGAGAAGCGACCUCGCGAGAGCAAGCGGACCUCAUAAAGUGCGUCGUAGUCCGGAUUGGAGUCUGCAACUCGACUCCAUGAAGUCGGAAUCGCUAGUAAUCGUGGAUCAGAAUGCCACGGUGAAUACGUUCCCGGGCCUUGUACACACCGCCCGUCACACCAUGGGAGUGGGUUGCAAAAGAAGUAGGUAGCUUAACCUUCGGGAGGGCGCUUACCACUUUGUGAUUCAUGACUGGGGUGAAGUCGUAACAAGGUAACCGUAGGGGAACCUGCGGUUGGAUCACCUCCUU